Molecule: ribosomal RNA, 433 nt
Filed under: uncultured bacterium
Lineage: Bacteria
Description: partial 16S ribosomal RNA
Rfam family: Bacterial small subunit ribosomal RNA
Source: RNAcentral
AACGAACGCUGGCGGCAUGCCUAACACAUGCAAGUCGAACGAGACCUUCGGGUCUAGUGGCGCACGGGUGCGUAACGCGUGGGAACCUGCCCUUAGGUUCGGAAUAACUCCCCGAAUGGGGUGCUAAUACCGGAUAAUGUCCUCGGACCAAAGAUUUAUCGCCUUUGGAUGGGCCCGCGUUGGAUUAGCUAGGUGGUAGGGUAAAAGCCUACGAAGGCGACGAUCCAUAGCUGGGCGGAGAGGAUGAUCAGCCACACGAGGGCUGAGACACGGCCCCGACUCCUACGGGAGGCAGCAGUGGGGAAUGGAGAACGAUGGGCGACAGGAUGAAGCAGCUAUGCGGGGAGGAUGAUGGAGGUCUUAGGGUAGAGAGGCUCUAGUACCCGGGAAGAUAGUGACGGUACCGGGAGAAUAAGCUACGGCUAAAUACGUG